RNAcentral lists this ribosomal RNA (490 nucleotides) under uncultured bacterium. RNAcentral describes it as "partial 16S ribosomal RNA". It matches the Rfam family "Bacterial small subunit ribosomal RNA", at positions 28 to 507 of the family's 1533-position model. The record is from RNAcentral.
GAUGAACGCUAGCUACAGGCUUAACACAUGCAAGUCGCAGGGUAACAUGAGGAAAGCUUGCUUUCCUUGAUGACGACUGGCGCACGGGUGAGUAACGCGUAUCCAACCUUCCCAUAACUACGGGAUAACCCGUUGAAAGACGGCCUAAUACCGUAUGAUAUCGUUUGCUGACAUCAAAUAACGAUUAAAGGUUUAGCGGUUAUGGAUGGGGAUGCGUCUGAUUAGCUUGUUGGCGGGGUAACGGCCCACCAAGGCGACGAUCAGUAGGGGUUCUGAGAGGAAGGUCCCCCACAUUGGAACUGAGACACGGUCCAAACUCCUACGGGAGGCAGCAGUGAGGAAUAUUGGUCAAGGGGCGAGAGCCUGAACCAGCCAAGUAGCGUGCAGGACGACGGCCCUAGGGGUGGUAAACUGCUUUUAUGUGGGGAUAAAGUGCGUGACGUGUCAUGCAUUGCAGGUACCACAUGAAUAAGGACCGGCUAAUUCCGUG